Small nucleolar RNA from Papio anubis (olive baboon), 80 nucleotides. Its record names the gene U3. It matches the Rfam family "Small nucleolar RNA U3". Rfam says of the family: Small nucleolar RNAs (snoRNAs) are involved in the processing and modification of rRNA in the nucleolus. There are two main classes of snoRNAs: the box C/D class, and the box H/ACA class. The record is from Ensembl. NCBI's taxonomy places the organism in Eukaryota, Metazoa, Chordata, Mammalia, Primates, Cercopithecidae.
AAGACUGUACUUUUAGGGAUCAUUUCUUUAGUUCAUUACUAGAUAAGUUUCUCUGAAUAUGUAGAGCGCUGAAUUAUAAU